GAUGAACGCUAGCGGCAGGCUUAACACAUGCAAGUCGAGGGGCAGCACGGGUAGCAAUACCUGGUGGCGACCGGCGCAAGGGUGCGUAACGCGUGAGCAACAUGCCCUAUACAGGGGGAUAAUCCAGGGAAACUUGGUCUAAUAUCCCAUAGUAUUUAGAGGAGGCAUCUUCUAUAAAUUAAAGCUUCGGUGGUAUAGGAUUGGCUCGCGUGACAUUAGCUAGAUGGUGAGGUAACGGCUCACCAUGGCAAUGAUGGUCUAGGGGUUCUGAGAGGAAGGCCCCCCACACUGGGACUGAGACACGGCCCAGACUCCUACGGGAGGCAGCAGUGAGGAAUAUUGGACAAUGGAUGGAAAUCUGAUCCAGCCAUGCCGCGUGCAGGAAGACAGCCCUAUGGGUUGUAAACUGCUUUUAUAUGGGAGCAAUAAGGUCUACGUGUAGACUGAUGAGAGUACCAUAUGAAUAAGC
This 469-nucleotide ribosomal RNA is filed under the name uncultured bacterium. Its description in RNAcentral is "bacterial SSU rRNA". It matches the Rfam family "Bacterial small subunit ribosomal RNA", at positions 28 to 491 of the family's 1533-position model. The record is from RNAcentral.